CCGAACCAGAGUAACAACAGUGAUAUUUGUAGUUUUUUCUAAAAAUAACUAUGGCCUUGUUCAUUAUAAUAGCCUUGUUCAUUACAGAAUGGCUGCGGCAGUAUCAGAGGAACACACACAUCUUCAUAGAGAGAGAGAUAGCAACAGAGACCGUAACCAUAGCUCCGACCUGUCUCUCCGGCAGCAUCGGGAACGAUUUCUCCUUCCCUUCCCUCUUUUUCCUUUGCUUCUUCUUCUUAUUCUUAACCGAGUCGAUAUGUUAUUCUUUUCUGUCGCGGUAGUGGGCGUUCCUCGGAGCUUUGUAGAUCUGUCGGAGCUGAUCUUUAACCUUGUAUGAAGAGACGACGACAAGACUAUGGAGAGGUCAAAAAAGGAGAGUCGGCGUUUUAGAACCAAAGGUUGUUAAAAAGAGCUUCAAUACCAGCUGAAAGCUUGCAAGAGACUCGCUCGCGUAUCUUACCGCUAAGGUUCGAUUUUCAUUCCGGAGUCUCUUCCGGCUUUGGCGUAUGAAACGAGGCAUGGAUUGACGGCGGCAUGAAGCCGAUUAUCACUACAAGAAAACAUUCAAACUCUGACGGAAGAUUUCGUCGGAAUAAGCCAUUUUCGACAAAUUUCCGACGAAAAACGUCGUCGGUUUCAUUUGGUCGGGAAAAAAUAUUUCGUCGGAAUAACUGACGAAGAAACCAAUUUCGUCGGACUUCCGUCAGAAUUUUCCGACGAAAUUCUGAGAAAUUAAAACCUCAAACUGAAACUCUAAUAUAAAAGCAAUUUCGUCAGAAUUUCAUCGGAAUUUCGUUAAAAUAUUCUGACAAAAUUCUGAGGAUCCAAAACCCCAAACCGAAACCCCAAUACAAAGAUGUUUUCGUCAGUAUUUCAUCAGAAAUUUACGAUAAAUCAUAUUUCGUCGGUAUUUCGUCGGAAAUUUCUGACGAAAUUCCGAUGACUCUUAAAUAUUUGGUUUCUUUGGUAUUUCUUCAGAAAUUUCUCAGAAUUUUCCGACCACAUUAUUGUCGGAGUUUCCGUCAGAAUGUGCCAUGUUUUCUUGUAGUGUAUGUUGUUGGUUCACGGAUUCGACGCUCAUCAAAUGGAACUAGAACAUGGUGUUAGGUUCAGUCGGACUACUGUCCGUUUUGUGGCUUAGGACUGGAGUAACGAACGUCAAUUGAUACAAACCAUCAUCGGUACUGUGCCUGUGGUGUUGAAGCGAUUGGGACACAAGCGAAAAUCCUACUUUACGGGACACGAGCGGAAAUCCUACUUUACGGGACCAUAGCUUGGUGAAGAAAGGAAAUGUCGAUUGUGUAGUCCGUGUCUAUUUGUGUUAGUAGUUGUUCUCAAGUCAUUAUGGUUGAUUGUAGGGGUCAAAGAGAUGAUUCCUUUCGGGUUGUGGGAUGGAUUCAUUCUCGCUACUGUAAAAAAAUACAUUGUUUGCUUGGUCAAGUAGCAUUAGGUCCAAUCAAGUGACG
Molecule: long non-coding RNA, 1466 nt
Organism: Raphanus sativus (radish)
Lineage: Eukaryota; Viridiplantae; Streptophyta; Magnoliopsida; Brassicales; Brassicaceae
Exons: 3
Source: RefSeq, a predicted model, not a curated record